RNAcentral lists this ribosomal RNA (431 nucleotides) under uncultured bacterium. Its description in RNAcentral is "partial 16S ribosomal RNA". It matches the Rfam family "Bacterial small subunit ribosomal RNA", at positions 338 to 795 of the family's 1533-position model. The record is from RNAcentral.
CCUACGGGAGGCAGCAGUGGGGAAUCUUGCGCAAUGGGCGAAAGCCUGACGCAGCGACGCCGCGUGGGGGAAGAAGGCUUUCGGGUUGUAAACCCCUUUCAGAAGGGACGCGGUACCUUCAGAAGAAGCCCCGGCUAACUACGUGCCAGCAGCCGCGGUAAUACAUAGGGGGCAAGCGUUGUCCGGAUUUAUUGGGCGUAAAGAGCGUGUAGGCGGUUCGGUAGGUCCGUUGUGAAAACUCGAGGCUCAACCUCGAGACGCCGAUGGAAACCCCCGAACUAGAGUCCGGAAGAGGAGAGUGGAAUUCCUGGUGUAGCGGUGAAAUGCGCAGAUAUCAGGAAGAACACCCGUGGCUAAGGCGGCUCUCUAGUAGGACUGACGCUGAGACGCGAAAGCGUGGGGAGCGAACAGGAUUAGAUACCCUAGUAGUC